UAACUUUGCAGCCCUGAAUUUUUCAGGCUACAUAACAAUCAUUAAAUAAUAUUGGAAUG
Molecule: non-coding RNA, 59 nt
Filed under: unclassified sequences
Description: S15-Flavobacteria ribosomal protein leader
Rfam family: S15-Flavobacteria ribosomal protein leader
Source: RNAcentral